Molecule: ribosomal RNA, 423 nt
Filed under: Triticum aestivum (bread wheat)
Lineage: Eukaryota; Viridiplantae; Streptophyta; Magnoliopsida; Poales; Poaceae
Description: partial small subunit ribosomal RNA
Source: RNAcentral
AUGGAGCGGAAUGCGCGGGAAGUGCGGGAGGAGUGGGAGGCGGAGGAGCGGAGGGCGGCUCGAGAGGCGAAGCAGAAGUCGGCGGAGGCGCGAGUUGUCGCGGCCGCCAAGGCCCAGGCAGAGGCCACAAACGCGGAGAGGGAGGCGGAGGCCCAGCAGAACCAGCCUCCGCAGUUCGUCAUUCCCCUCCGCGCCGCAGCUCCCGACACCCCUGCGCCCCCGUUAGAGGAGGCCGGCCGCGACCAGCUGGAGAUGGAGAGGGAGGUGGCGCCAUCGCCGCCGACUGGAGCGGGCCGAGGAAGACGGCCUGAAGUGCCGCCCGUGCAGCCGGCUGGAGGCGAGCUGGUCGUGAGAGGGGAUCUUGUGAUCUUGUCGCCACUUCGCCGGCGCAUGGGGAAGGCGACUUCAGCGCCGGACGCGUAG